Molecule: ribosomal RNA, 182 nt
Filed under: uncultured bacterium
Lineage: Bacteria
Description: partial 16S ribosomal RNA
Rfam family: Bacterial small subunit ribosomal RNA
Source: RNAcentral
CCCGACUCCAUGAAGCUGGAUUCGCUAGUAAUCGCGCAUCAGCCACGGCGCGGUGAAUACGUUCCCGGGCCUUGUACACACCGCCCGUCAAGCCAUGGGAGCCGGGGGCGCCUGAAGUCCGGGACCGCGAGGACCGGCCUAGGGCGAAACUGGUAACUGGGGCUAAGUCGUAACAAGGUAAC